UUUAAUUACGGUUAUAGUACAACUCAGUGCAGACUUAACACCAUAAGGCUGAGAAAUCGACCCACACUGCGGUGAUUGUAGAAUGAAAUAUUCGAAGGAUACUUUGAAAUUAUUUUUAAAUCUUUUGUAGCGAUACAUAAGAUUCACGCAUCAAAGGAUGCGGCUACGGGGAGAUUGUGCUGGAGUAAUCGCAUUUAAGGUCCUGUUCUUUUCGCUCUCAUAAUAGAAAGCAUUGUGAAUAGCGAUGCCGAAUCCUUGUUAGGAUAAGACUGGUAAUCUUGUCAAACUAAGGAAAUACCAAUAAGAGAGUUGGCAAUUGAUGUGGCGUAAUCCACUAUAAGAAAAGGUCAAGGGUCAAGUAGCCGAAAUUUGCCAAGACAGUAUAUUUAAUAAAAGAUAUUAGUAAUACAGUUCUGAAUGGUCGGUGAAAGAUAGCGGGUAAUCAAUCCCCUAUGAGAUUUGGCAUACGCCGGGGUAAGAUGUUUUAGGUUCGCUACCUAAAGCACAGACUUAUCUCCUCAUUUACCUAAUAAAAUGAAGGUUAUUAUCCAGUAGGGCGAAGGUCCGUAGUAUAAUUGUAAUUA
Molecule: small RNA, 584 nt
Filed under: pig gut metagenome
Description: ROOL RNA
Rfam family: ROOL RNA
About the family: Firmicutes, Fusobacteria (1 example), Tenericutes (1 example). Environment (Cow rumen (57))
Source: RNAcentral